This 447-nucleotide ribosomal RNA is filed under the name Leptotrichia sp. oral taxon 212. Its description in RNAcentral is "bacterial SSU rRNA". It matches the Rfam family "Bacterial small subunit ribosomal RNA", at positions 28 to 492 of the family's 1533-position model. The record is from RNAcentral. Lineage: Bacteria; Fusobacteriati; Fusobacteriota; Fusobacteriia; Fusobacteriales; Leptotrichiaceae.
GAUGAACGCUGACAGAAUGCUUAACACAUGCAAGUCGAUGGGGAAGUGGUGCUUGCACCAUGGCAACCAUGGCGGACGGGUGAGUAACGCGUAAGGGACUUACCUGCAGGACUGGGAUAACAGGGGGAAACUCCUGACAAGACCGGAUAAUGUCAUGGAGCUGCAUGGCUUUAUGAUGAAAGGAGACGCCUGCGGAGAGCCUUGCGUCCUAUUAGCUAGUUGGUGAGGUAAUGGCUCACCAAGGCGAAGAUAGGUAGCCGGCCUGAGAGGGUGGACGGCCACAAGGGGACUGAGAUACGGCCCUUACUCCUACGGGAGGCAGCAGUGGGGAAUAUUGGACAAUGGGGGCAACCCUGAUCCAGCAAUUCUGUGUGCACGAAGAAGGUUUUCGGAUUGUAAAGUGCUUUCAGCAGGGAAGAAGGAAGUGACGGUACCUGCAGAAAAGCG